RNAcentral lists this transfer RNA (71 nucleotides) under Giardia muris. It matches the Rfam family "tRNA". Rfam says of the family: Transfer RNA (tRNA) molecules are approximately 80 nucleotides in length. Their secondary structure includes four short double-helical elements and three loops (D, anti-codon, and T loops). Further hydrogen bonds mediate the characteristic L-shaped molecular structure. tRNAs have two regions of fundamental functional importance: the anti-codon, which is responsible for specific mRNA codon recognition, and the 3' end, to which the tRNAs corresponding amino acid is attached (by aminoacyl-tRNA synthetases). tRNAs cope with the degeneracy of the genetic code in two manners: having more than one tRNA (with a specific anti-codon) for a particular amino acid; and 'wobble' base-pairing, i.e. permitting non-standard base-pairing at the 3rd anti-codon position. The record is from Rfam by way of RNAcentral. Lineage: Eukaryota; Fornicata; Diplomonadida; Hexamitidae.
GCGCAUGUGGUGAAGCGGUAUCACGGUUGCCUUCCAAGCAACCAUCCCGGGUUCAACUCCCGGCUUGCGCA